This 99-nucleotide ribosomal RNA is filed under the name Lejeunea flava. RNAcentral's name for it is "partial 5.8S ribosomal RNA". It matches the Rfam family "5.8S ribosomal RNA", at positions 1 to 94 of the family's 154-position model. From Rfam's summary of the family: 5.8S ribosomal RNA (5.8S rRNA) is a component of the large subunit of the eukaryotic ribosome. It is transcribed by RNA polymerase I as part of the 45S precursor that also contains 18S and 28S rRNA. Lineage: Eukaryota; Viridiplantae; Streptophyta; Jungermanniopsida; Porellales; Lejeuneaceae. The record is from RNAcentral.
AAAAUGACUCUCAGCAACGGAUAUCUUGGCUCUUGCAACGAUGAAGAACGCAGCGAAAUGCGAUACCUAGUGUGAAUUGCAGAAUUCCGCGAAUCAUCG